GUCCAAACAAAAAGCCAACAUCAGGAGAUCACAAACACAUCUCAUUCUAUCAACAGAAACUUACAUAAGUAAAUGAAUAGCUUUACCCAUAACUCAAGUAAUAACAACCAGAUUUCAGUCUGCAAACUUUCAGAUUCUUUAGCCAAAUCCAACUAGUUCGGAAUUGCGAUGUAGUUGAUUGAUACUUGAACAAAGACAGUUUUUUUUUUA
RNAcentral lists this long non-coding RNA (210 nucleotides) under Solanum lycopersicum (tomato). RNAcentral's name for it is "partial TCONS_00155993". The record is from RNAcentral. Lineage: Eukaryota; Viridiplantae; Streptophyta; Magnoliopsida; Solanales; Solanaceae.